UGCCAGCAGCCGCGGUAAUACGGAGGGGGCAAGCGUUAUUCGGAAUUACUGGGCGUAAGGCGCACGUAGGCGGCAGGGCAAGUCGUAGGUGAAAGCCCUCAGCUCAACUGAGGAACUGCCUUUGAAACUGCCCUGCUUGAGUCCGGGAGAGGAGAGCGGAAUUCCCAGUGUAGCGGUGAAAUGCGUAGAUACUGGGAGGAACACCGGUGGCGAAGGCGGCUCUCUGGACCGGCACUGACGCUGAGGUGCGAAAGCGUGGGUAGCAAACAGGAUUAGAUA
This 279-nucleotide ribosomal RNA is filed under the name uncultured bacterium. RNAcentral's name for it is "partial 16S ribosomal RNA". It matches the Rfam family "Bacterial small subunit ribosomal RNA", at positions 506 to 784 of the family's 1533-position model. The record is from RNAcentral.